Molecule: long non-coding RNA, 1292 nt
Filed under: Nicotiana benthamiana
Lineage: Eukaryota; Viridiplantae; Streptophyta; Magnoliopsida; Solanales; Solanaceae
Description: long non-coding RNA (NBEN_LNC037088)
Source: RNAcentral
CCAUGUCUAGUCCCUUCAUCUUGCGUCCUGGGGAAGCAGUCGGCAGGUGAGGUUACGAAUUAUAAUUGAACAUUGAGACGUCUCCUUUGUCGCUUUGUUAGAAAUCUCCCUGAGAUGACCAAAUCGUGAAAAAACCCAGGUGAGGGAGUAAGAGUACGACUUGAGGAGGGUCCUUCAAAAGUCGAAGUAUUUGAUGUGGGCAACAUUCCUAUUGUUUCGUAGUAGUUUUUCUUCCAUUGUUUCUAGUUGGAAUGCUCAUUGCUCGCGAGUGCUCGCAUUCCUGUUUGAGCCAACAAAGGAGUGAAGAUAAACCAAAAUGAAAUUUUCUGUUACCUCAACAUGACGAGUUAGCAAAAGAGAGAGUGACGUUGUGGUGUUACUCGCUCCACCUAGUGCAUGGAUGAUGGUUUUAGAUUUAGCGGCCGUGUUUGGCUUCGCCAUUACUAGCGUCUAGGCUUCAUAUGGGCUGGGCUUUCCUCACUCACUGAGGGGGUGAAAUCGAGUCCCGACCCAAUCUCAUCCGAUUUGUGCCAACAAUCAAGAGAAAUAUGUCAUACUUCGUUCAUAGACCAUCCAGUGUGUGGGGGAAUAUGAAAAUAGGGUAGGAUGUGCCCGUUCUUUCAGAAGACUGCGCAACAAGCCGCUAUCCUCUCCUAAGGGGUGGAAGUGCAGGUCAGUAUAUAAGAUAGAUACUCAAACGGGGUUGCGGUCAUGCCAGGUGACGGUGAUCACGUUUUUAGAUGUGCAUGUGUCGUGCUAGACCCAUCGUUAUAAGUGAGAUGUGUUUUGCAUAGACAUUGGUUAUAAUUUCGACAUUAUACGGCAACCAGAUCUAGAUUGGUGGUCAUUUAGGAGGCUUGCCUACUACUUUUUCGAGUGGGUGGUAGUGCCGAGAAGGUGAGACCGCGAUAGCUUGGUAGCAAAUUCUGCCGGUUAUGGAUCUAAAGGAAAUUACUAAAUUUGGCUAAGAAAUCCCCACAGAUGGUGCCACAUUGUUUUGACCAAAAAGUAUUAAACUUCUUGUUAAACUAAUUGAUGGAUGAAAUAGAAGAUAAAUCUUAGUCAACGGUAAUUAACUCUAAAUAACAACACAUUAAUUUUAAAAAUUAGAAGAGAACAAACUAAUUUAAUAUUUCUUAAGAUACUCAUCAUAUAUUAAGUGGGAACGAUAAGCUUACAUGUGUAACAUGCUUGGAUUACCGAGGAAGGAGCAUAAAAUAUGAAAAGGAAGCUGUAGAUAACAUAGGAAUCUUCCCCCUUUGUUUCGCAGUAUUAUUCUUGUUAAUCCUAGC